This 468-nucleotide ribosomal RNA is filed under the name uncultured bacterium. RNAcentral's name for it is "partial 16S ribosomal RNA". It matches the Rfam family "Bacterial small subunit ribosomal RNA", at positions 28 to 507 of the family's 1533-position model. The record is from RNAcentral.
GACGAACGCUGGCGGCGUGCUUAACACAUGCAAGUCGAACGGAAAGGCCCUGCUUUUGUGGGGUGCUCGAGUGGCGAACGGGUGAGUAACACGUGAGUAACCUGCCCUUGACUGUGGGAUAACUUCAGGAAACUGGGGCUAAUACCGGAUAGGAGCUCCUGCUGCAUGGUGGGGGUUGGAAAGUUUCGGCGGUUGGGGAUGGACUCGCGGCUUAUCAGCUUGUUGGUGGGGUAGUGGCUUACCAAGGCGUUGACGGGUAGCCGGCCUGAGAGGGUGACCGGCCACAUUGGGACUGAGAUACGGCCCAGACUCCUACGGGAGGCAGCAGUGGGGAAUAUUGCACAAUGGGCGGAAGCCUGAUGCAGCAACGCCGCGUGCGGGAUGACGGCCUUCGGGUUGUAAACCGCUUUCGCCUGUGACGAAGCGUGAGUGACGGUAAUGGGUAAAGAAGCACCGGCUAACUACGUG